GCAUCAUCAGGCUCAACGUGUGGCGAGAAGGGAAGCUUCACGCCCCCUAUGCCCACCAUCCGAAAGAGAGUAUGCAAAACCAUUGUCGCAAAGGAAGGACAGUGAAGCUUCAGCGCUGCGGAAGAAAGAAGAGGUAAUCUGAAACCCAAGGACACCAACAUUCACAUACCGAAGGAAACAAGAACAUUAAUCAGUGAAGAACAGGGGCCUAGAUGCCGACGGAAGCACAUCAAGGUUGCUCAGUAGUCGUCGUUGCAAAGGUUAAGGCCAUUCACUCUUCUUCGGUCAAAGGGUUCCGUGGGUAACCAUCUGCUGGACUUGAAUUUCAGUAGUUCCAUAUGCAAUUUUCACACGGCCUUUUGAACUUUGAUUGUUACCUCAUAGAAUUCUUGAUUAUUUAUUUCACUUACUGACCUUACGAAUCUUUGUAAUGCUACGUACCCUUGCGAUUUCCUCACAUGUUGCACUUUAAAUUGCAAUUGCUCUAUGAAUUUUGAUCACUGCUCAACUGAAAUCUUCAUUAUUGCCUUUGG
This 533-nucleotide unclassified non-coding RNA is filed under the name Hevea brasiliensis (rubber tree). The record is from RNAcentral. Lineage: Eukaryota; Viridiplantae; Streptophyta; Magnoliopsida; Malpighiales; Euphorbiaceae.